Molecule: non-coding RNA, 310 nt
Filed under: marine eukaryotic metagenome
Source: RNAcentral
AGUUUUAACGCUGAACCAUCUGAUAAUUCUUGAAUUGUCUGUACUGAUGCUUUCCCAUAGGAUUUUGUACCUAAUAUCGUUGCUCUCUUAUUAUCUUGAAGUGCGCCAGCGACUAUCUCUGAUGCUGAAGCCGAUCCUUCAUUUACUAGCACGAUCAUAGGCAUGCCAUUUGUUAUAUCUUGAGGUGUAGCACUGUACUUUAAUACAGAGUUUAACGACCUUCCUUUUGUUUCAACUAUUUUCCCGUUAGGUAAAAAUAAAUCACUUAUGCCCACAGCAGAGCCCAAGACUCCGCCUGGAUUGUUUCUUA